Molecule: ribosomal RNA, 253 nt
Filed under: uncultured bacterium
Lineage: Bacteria
Description: partial 16S ribosomal RNA
Rfam family: Bacterial small subunit ribosomal RNA
Source: RNAcentral
UACAGAGGUCUCAAGCGUUGUUCGGAUUCAUUGGGCGUAAAGGGUGCGUAGGCGGCGCGGUAAGUCGGGUGUGAAAUCCUGGAGCUUAACUCCGAAACUGCAUUCGAUACUGCCGUGCUUGAGGACUGGAGAGGAGACUGGAAUUUACGGUGUAGCGGUGAAAUGCGUAGAUAUCGUAAGGAAGACCAGUGGCGAAGGCGGGUCUCUGGACAGUUCCUGACGCUGAGGCACGAAGGCCAGGGGAGCAAACGGG